UUCCGUAGGUGAACCUGCGGAAGGAUCAUUAAAAUUAUUGUAUUACACUGUUUUUGAAGCAAACACAAUAACCAUUAAUAUUCAAUAACCUAAAAAAAAUCAAAACUUUCAACAACGGAUCUCUUGGUUCUCGCAUCGAUGAAGAACGCAGCGAAUUGCGAUACGUAUCAUGACUUGCAGACGUGAAUCAUCAAUCUUUGAACGCACAUUGCGCCUUGAGGUAUUCCUCAAGGCAUGCCUGUUUGAGCGUCGGCUCCCUUCAAACCCCCGGGUUUGGUGUUGCCUUCCGAAAUAUCACAGUUGUCGCAAUACGUUACUUCAACUUUAUUCUUUCGCCCUCAAAUCAGGUAGGACUACCCGCUGAACUUAAGCAUAUCAAUAAGCGGAGGAAAAAG
Molecule: ribosomal RNA, 395 nt
Filed under: Sungouiella intermedia
Lineage: Eukaryota; Fungi; Ascomycota; Pichiomycetes; Serinales; Metschnikowiaceae
Description: eukaryotic LSU rRNA
Rfam family: 5.8S ribosomal RNA (bases 104-252)
Source: RNAcentral